GGCGUCCGCAAACGGGAUGUGGACGCAAGACACAGCACUUAACUGAAGUCCCGGGGGAACUGUGUCGGCUCGCCCCCUUCUGGCCAAAUCAGAGGGAAGGCAUGUUAGUCAGAGAACCAACAGCUGGACCCGGGCACGUGGUGCCUGGAACUCUGCACCAGAUCAUCUCUCUCGCUUUGUCCCUUCAGAGAAGAUGGCUGCCACAGCUCUACUUUUGCUCCCUGGCUAAGUUGACAAGAGGUUCAAAGAAAGAAGAAAACUUACAAUUAAAUCAUCAGUUAAGACUCCGUGGUGGCCCCUACCCAGAUGGGACUUGACUCUAUCGUGCGCCUCACUCCGUUUCCUGAGCAACCCUGUCUGAUAAACCUGAUAUGGCUGAGAUUGAAAAAUUCAGCAAGUUGAAACGGAAGAAGACAGAAAUGCAAGAGAAAAAUCCACUGCCCUCAAAAGAAACGACUGAACAGAGAAGCCAGCAGGCAAAUCAUAAUAAGCGUGUACCUCCAGUGUGUGCUGUACAUUCCACAAGUAUUGCCUUCUUAUUUUACAUCUUUUAACUGUUUAACUUUGUGAGAUGCAAAGGGGUUGGAUCAAGUUUAAGUGGUUGUGCUGCCCCUUUUCACAUUAAAGAACGGAGAACUACUGACAAUCACGGCCGCGCCUGCCUCUCCCAUCUGACUGGCUGGCUGGCUGGGAAGGAAAAGAACAUGUAUGUUGGUGAAGGAAGAAGCUGGAUGGGACCACAAUGAAAUCUAGAGUAAAAACCAAGCUGGUCCAAGGUGUCCUGCAGGCUGUAAAGUGCAGUUUAAUCAGAGUAGCAUUUUUUUGUUCAAAUGAUUUUAAUUAUGGGAAUGAACCAUUUUUAAA
Molecule: long non-coding RNA, 864 nt
Organism: Hyaena hyaena (striped hyena)
Lineage: Eukaryota; Metazoa; Chordata; Mammalia; Carnivora; Hyaenidae
Exons: 3
Source: RefSeq, a predicted model, not a curated record